GACGAACGCUGGCGGCGUGCUUAACACAUGCAAGUCGAACGGAAAGGCCCUGCUUUUGCGGGGUGCUCGAGUGGCGAACGGGUGAGUAACACGUGAGUAACCUGCCCUGGACUUUGGGAUAACUUCAGGAAACCGGGGCUAAUACCGGCUAGGAGCUCCUGCUGCAUGGUGGGGGUUGGAAAGUUUCGGCGGUUGGGGAUGGACUCGCGGCUUAUCAGCUUGUUGGUGGGGUAGUGGCUUACCAAGGCUUUGACGGGUAGCCGGCCUGAGAGGGUGGCCGGCGACAUUGGGACUGAGAUACGGCCCAGACUCCUACGGGAGGCAGCAGUGGGGAAUAUUGCACAAUGGGGGGAAGCCUGAUGCAGCAGCGCCGCGUGCGGGAUGACGGCCUUCGGGUUGUAAACCGCUUUCGCCUGUGACGAAGCGUGAGUGACGGUAAUGGGUAAAGAAGCACCGGCUAACUACGUG
Molecule: ribosomal RNA, 468 nt
Filed under: uncultured bacterium
Lineage: Bacteria
Description: partial 16S ribosomal RNA
Rfam family: Bacterial small subunit ribosomal RNA
Source: RNAcentral